CCCCUUGUAACUUAGUGGUAGAGUACUGCUGCUUAAAACCAGAAACUCGGGUUCGAUCCCCAACAAGGCAG
RNAcentral lists this transfer RNA (71 nucleotides) under Agrilus planipennis (emerald ash borer). It matches the Rfam family "tRNA". From Rfam's summary of the family: Transfer RNA (tRNA) molecules are approximately 80 nucleotides in length. Their secondary structure includes four short double-helical elements and three loops (D, anti-codon, and T loops). Further hydrogen bonds mediate the characteristic L-shaped molecular structure. tRNAs have two regions of fundamental functional importance: the anti-codon, which is responsible for specific mRNA codon recognition, and the 3' end, to which the tRNAs corresponding amino acid is attached (by aminoacyl-tRNA synthetases). tRNAs cope with the degeneracy of the genetic code in two manners: having more than one tRNA (with a specific anti-codon) for a particular amino acid; and 'wobble' base-pairing, i.e. permitting non-standard base-pairing at the 3rd anti-codon position. The record is from Rfam by way of RNAcentral. Lineage: Eukaryota; Metazoa; Arthropoda; Insecta; Coleoptera; Buprestidae.